GGGGAUGUAGUUAAUAAUAACAUUUAAUUUGCAAUUAAAAAGUAUCUUUAAGAUCUUUCUCA
This 62-nucleotide transfer RNA is filed under the name Ausejanus albisignatus. Its description in RNAcentral is "tRNA-Ala". It matches the Rfam family "tRNA". From Rfam's summary of the family: Transfer RNA (tRNA) molecules are approximately 80 nucleotides in length. Lineage: Eukaryota; Metazoa; Arthropoda; Insecta; Hemiptera; Miridae. The record is from RNAcentral.